GGAGGGUUUGGGGUAGAUGGGAGGUGGGAUGAGAAGGGAAUAAAAGUUUUAGGGAAAAGUGGGAGGGAGUAAAAAUUUUGGGGGAAAAUAAAAGGUUUUGAGGGUUUUUAGGAGUAAAAUUUUGAGAAAAAGUAAAUUGAAGAGUAAAAUUUUGGUGGGAAAUGGAUUUUGGGUAGAUUGGGGGGUUGGGAGGGGAGGGGAGUAUAAGUUUUGGGGGGAAAGUGGGAAGGAGUAAAAGUUUUGAGGGAAAAGUAAAAAAGGUUUGGGAGUUUGGGGUAAAAAUGUAAAAUAUUAUAGUUUGAUAUUCGAAUUCGAAAACUCAACACGAUUCGAACUUGAAAUUUGAAAAAAAAUUCGAGUUGAUUCGAAUAACUCGAUUAACUCGAAUAACUCAAUUCGUUUAACUCGAAAUUCGAAUUUUU
This 422-nucleotide long non-coding RNA is filed under the name Gossypium raimondii (Peruvian cotton). RNAcentral describes it as "long non-coding RNA (GRAI_LNC004293)". Lineage: Eukaryota; Viridiplantae; Streptophyta; Magnoliopsida; Malvales; Malvaceae. The record is from RNAcentral.